AAUCAUCUAAAACACCCCCCAAACACCACCACCACUUUCCAACACCACCAACAAUGACUGCCACCGCUUCGCUUUCCCUCAUUCCCGCCACACCAACCUGCCACCCUGUCCCCUCUUCCUUGUCGCUACCCCCAAUUAACCUUCCUCCUCACCCCAACCUGUAACUUUUCUCUCCCUCUCCGAUCUCUCACAUCAUGCAAAUCCCUUCUAAAACCUCACACCCCUGCAGUCUCUUGGAUAUAUAUACGGUGGGAUGCUGGUAAUCUGAAUGCUAGAAAAAGCUAGUUUUGUGGUAUAUGGAAUGGAAGAGAGAAAAAUGCAAGGGUUUGGGGGGUGAAUGGGAUCAGAGAGAGAGAGGGAGGGAAGUGAGGAAGAGGGUUUCAGGGGAGUGGCUACUAGUAAAGGCG
RNAcentral lists this long non-coding RNA (407 nucleotides) under Actinidia chinensis (golden kiwifruit). Its description in RNAcentral is "long non-coding RNA (ACHI_LNC003118)". The record is from RNAcentral. Lineage: Eukaryota; Viridiplantae; Streptophyta; Magnoliopsida; Ericales; Actinidiaceae.